This is a non-coding RNA of Salvia hispanica, 958 nucleotides long. The record is from RefSeq and is a predicted model, not a curated record. Lineage: Eukaryota; Viridiplantae; Streptophyta; Magnoliopsida; Lamiales; Lamiaceae.
AAACACUACAUUUCACUUAUCAUAUACUUAUACACUACUCACUCAAGCCAUCAAAUAGUUCUCUUUGGACGAGGGAUAAUAAAAAAUGUUCAAAUAUAAUGAAAAAAAAAAAUAUACUACUAGUAAUCUAACAUUCUUACACAGAAAACACUACAGUACAUUACAAAAUAUUAUUCGUUCUCAUAGAUUUGCAACUAAGGGUAUGUUUGGUAGCCCCAUAAAAAUCAUAAAAGAACAUAAAAGGCCAUAAAAGGCCUUCUUCUUCCUCCUUCUCAUACGUUUGGUAGAUAUCAGAUUUAUCUGCAAACCCGGUAGAAAAAAUCCGGAUCUUGCAGGAUUUGAGAUUAGAUUCAGCGUUUGAGUCAUUCCACUAUCCGAGACGAAAGCAGGUAUUAUUUUUUCUCAACUUGUCCGAUACCUGAUUUGUAGCUUCAUGCCUAAUUUGCCCUCCCUUCCACCACUAUUCGACAUCUACAACUGCAUACCCAUAACCACAAGACAAAGACACUGCUUCACGGUGGUGCCGCCGUCGUGGCUCGCGUGGAGCCCCAACUGCCAAGGCGGCACGACGCUUGGAUGCCCGCUGCUAAGCGAUUUCGGCUGCAAUGUGCCGUCGCCGGAGCCGCACCCCACGAACCGAUUUUUAUCGGAUAGUGGUGGAAGGGAGGGCGGAGUAGAGGAGAAAUUGGGGAGUCUUUGAGGAGGAUUUUGCUCCUGUCAUUCUCCGUUGUCCUAUUUGGGCAUAAUUUAUGCAGAUUUAUGGAGAAGGGGGGCAAAGAGAGGGAGGGAGAGGCAAGAAGGGAGGCGAAGAGAGGGAGGGAGAGGCAGAGGGGUCAUGAGGAAGAAGAGAGGGAGAAGAGAGUUAUUUGCCUUAAGAAAGGAAGGACAUAAAUGGUAGCACAAUGUUUAGUAUGAUUUUCCAGUAAAUUGACUUUGGCCUACCAAACAAUGGUUUAAG